GGAGCAACAACAACAGCUAUUACUGUGGAUAUGAACAACUCCGUUUGAGCUGCAGUGGUGAAACAACGAUGUUCAAUAUCUCGACGGACAAUUACAUCGUAAAGGCCAUCGAUUACACCGCCCGAACACUGUCUCUUAUCGACGCUGAUGUGUUGGGUCAAAAUUGUCCCAGAGUGAACAAUGCCUUGAACAUAAGCUCAUCAGAAAAUAUUCUGGAUACCACUUCUUCCGAUGUGCAGUUGGAAUUCUUCUUCAACUGCACACGACAGGAGGAAUUAACGCCCUACGCAGUUGUUUGCCUCUCUACCGGAGAGACGUCGUCAUACGUCUUACCUGUUAACAAUGUCACGAGCAUCAAACCGUCGGAUUUGAACUGUGAAGGAAAUGUGAAGUCGACGGUGCUGAGGGAGGAGUGGAAUGGUAUCAACGGGGACAUAACUAAAUUUGGUAGUGUGUUACAGGAGG
RNAcentral lists this long non-coding RNA (465 nucleotides) under Zostera marina. RNAcentral describes it as "long non-coding RNA (ZMAR_LNC004965)". The record is from RNAcentral. Lineage: Eukaryota; Viridiplantae; Streptophyta; Magnoliopsida; Alismatales; Zosteraceae.